This is a long non-coding RNA of Populus nigra (black poplar), 715 nucleotides long. RefSeq lists it as uncharacterized. Lineage: Eukaryota; Viridiplantae; Streptophyta; Magnoliopsida; Malpighiales; Salicaceae. The transcript has 2 exons. The record is from RefSeq and is a predicted model, not a curated record.
GACAAUCACCUUAUCUCACCAUCACCACUAUCUUCUCUUCAAGCUAAAUAAUAAAAACAUUUUAAAUCUAAAUUAUUUUUCAUUUGUGAAAUACUAGUGUCACAACCUUCGUGACUCCUGGUCGGGAUUUCAUAUCUCAUUAACGGGUGGUUCACCAGGGAACAAAUGGUUUACAGAAUUAUAAAUGGUGUUUUUAGUUGCAUUGCGGUUCCCUUUCCCGCCAGGAAGGAAGGAGCAUGGUAUCAAAAAUGUUUAGUAGAUGUAUCACAGCUGGCCUCAUCUGCAAUUUGGCGAACAAGUCCCGGUACCCUUUUUUAACUGUAGGUGGAUGGAUGGGCAUUACUCACUCUUGAGACACCAAGAUACUGCCCUUGCCAACGAUAUUGAUGAUUAAUGCUCGAAUGUCCCUGGUGCCAGAAUUUGAGGAAGCUGCUUUCAGCGUCCCUUUGAACAAAGUCACAAGAUGUAAAACUAAAUUUGGGUGGCAUUUGUUGCAAGUUCUUUCUGAAGGGUAUGCCCAAGAAUCCUAUUUCAUCUGGUUUCUGUACCAAGGAGAAGGCAGAGCUGGCACCGGCUCUUACCACGAAUUUGUUUGAUUUCAAUCUGUAAUUUAUGUUACCAGUCUACUUGGAGAAAUCCAAGCAGACAAACUUCAUGUAAAAAAGCAAGAUCCUACGUUUGUCGAAGAAGCUCAAUUGAUUGAUGUUCGAGAACA